UCCACCAGCCAGGAAUGUUGAACGAGAAUGUUCUGGAAAGUGGUUUUAAGCCUCUCUGUGAUGGUACCAUGAGGCAUCACUCACUAGCAGAUCUCAGACUUCUGGAGGGGAUGUAGCUUCGUAAUCUCUUAAUCGUCAGUCUUACCUACAAAAUACAGCAAUGGAAAACAAUUACUAUAAAUAUACAGCAAUAAGCCAAUAUUUAAGUCAUGGCGAUUAAUAAAGGGAGUCUGGUGGAUGACAAAGAAAAUUCGAAUGCUUGAGUAUUUUCAUGAGUAUAUGCACACCGACAGCACCCAGCUGUGACCCCAGAUGCUGCUCAAAUUCUUGGCAGCGUAAUUCUGCUGGACUCGGUGUGAACCAAAACACCCAAACCAGCCAUUAUAAACCAUUAAUCGCCAAUGUGCACAAGACGAAGGCAAGAGAUUAAUUUAAGUGCACGGUGGAAAUAAUGAAAAAACAUAAACAUGAAAGGAUGAAAUACUGCAAGUCACCAGUGUAGUAAAGAUAAAAAGCCUUUAAUUAACUUGGCUAAGUUAUUAAAGUAAUAACAUGUUUCGGCUACACAGUCUUCUAAGAUCUAUUAUAUUGACAUUAUCUUGCAACAAGUAUUCCUAUCUAAUGUCAAGUCCACGAGUUUCCUUUGGAUUGUCUCCAUUGUUUAUUCUAGCUCUUUAACCAUGGAGAUCUUUAGCUUGUUGCGCAUGUAAUGUGGUCUAACCUGCUGGAUCAUAGUUGUUCAAAAGCAUUUGACCAGCAUUUACAUUUUGCUGCAAUGUGAUCAAAUGUUUGAUUAUAUCUGAAUAUAAAAAGUGGACAAUUUUAAAACUUGUCCACUUGUGUCAGUGCUUACUAUAUGACUGUCUUAUCUUGUCCAUGUAGUAGUCUGAGAGGAAUUGUGCUGAACCUUUUCAAUGUUUGUCAUUUUUUUAUUUUGUCUAUUUUGUCUAAGUUUUUAUCAAAGGGGUGGUUGAUGGCGAAUUCACUUUUUUAACGUUAGUGUGUAAUGUUGUUGUUUGAGCAUAAACAAUAUUUGCAAAUUUGCAGCAGAAUGUUGAAGUGAAAGUUCACUUCAAAUGGAGAUAUUGUCUUUUAAAAUUCUGGCAGUUUAAUGCCUACAAAAAUGGGUGGUAAGGAACAACAACAAGCAACCAGAUAAACCCCGCCCCCUGGGAACAUGCAACAAAGGGGCAAGGCCAUGCUGUGCUGCUUUAGAGAAGACGAAGAGAAAACUAGAGGUGGAUGUAAAAAAAUAAUCAUAUAUGAAUUGCGAUUCUGUCUAACGAUUAGAUAGUUCUAACGAUUUAAAUGGAUUCGCAAGAUUCAAAAACAAUGUUCUAAAGCAGCGGUUCUCAAUCCUGUACCUCGUGUCCCCCUGCUCUGCAUCUCUCUCUCUCAUUCAGAUCGUUGGAUCAGUUCCAACAAACUGUUCCAUUUAUACACUUCACAUAGCAAUGAGAAGCGUAAUACAUAGAUGUGCGUACGGUUGCUGUGCUGUAUUAAAGCUUAAAUCAGUAGCAUUUACAAACAACAGUGUAUAUAGAAGUAUGAGACAACAACAACAAAAAAACAUAACAUUAAGAACUGUGGGUGCACAGGUUCUGCGCGAUCCUCUUAAUUAAUAUUCUCUGCAUCUCAAUCGGACUCAAAUUGAUAAGCAAUAUAGAGGACGUCAAUACAACCAGAGAACAUUUUGCACUUGAGGGGCGGGAUGUUCAGAGAAGCUUUAGAGGUGGUUUAGCGAAUCACAACACAACGAGCCAGCUGACCAAUCUCAACCAAUUGCAUAUUUCUGAGGGAGGGGCUUCAUAAAAACAGGAAGUAAUUGAGGUGUCUGUGAGAAAAGGGAGAGAUCGUGUAGAAUAAAGAUAAAUUAUGUGAAAAAAAUAUGCAUUUUUUAAAAAACAAAGCAUGAACACUUUAGACUGCACCCAAUAAACAAUCAGACCUACAAAAACCCAGUCAGCCACCACUUUAACUUUUGCAGAUCCUCUCAUAGUAUAGUCUUGGAAUAUACAAAACACUAGACAUUUAUAUGCGAUACCACAGACAUACAGUAGUAGUACAACUUAGGUCAACCCCGAAUGUCAUUUUAAGGGGGGCCCAGAAACCAUAGCGGCGCUGCUGUUUUUAGGACUCUUAGAAAGUGUAGUGUUUUAGAAUGGCUAUGGUUUUGUGGGCGCAGGUCAGAUCAGUGGAUAUGCAAGGAGAGCAACCUGAACCAACUGAUCAUUUCCUCUGCAUUGCUGUUAAUGUUAGGAGAAUGACAAUUUGUUAAUGUAAUUAAAGAUGUGAGUAGCUAUACAGGUGCACACAAUAAGGAUGCAUAUAGGUAUAGUCCGGGGCUGAAGUCGGUCAGGAAGACCAGUAUCCGACUGUAGACAGAAUUGCAGAUGAUCAAGUUUUAAGGUUUCUGUAAAAGCUUAUUUUUUAAAAAAACCUAACAUGAUUAAGACAAGUACACACAAUUAUUUCAAGGAUUUAUACUGUGGCACAGCUUAUAUGCAGUAGAUUUAAUAUUUCAGUUUUUGGCAUAUAUUCGAUAUCCAGAUGAUAGAGACAGGACUUCUAUUGGCUAAUAUAUGAUGUGACCACAUCUGUUCAUUAGUGGAGGAAUCUGGGAAUAUACUCCAAUCUCUUAUUUCAAAACAACCAACACUCUUGGUUCCAAUAGAAUUGUGAGCAACAAGUUGACAUAUAGUGCUGUUGUGCUACAGGCAUCCGAGUUUGAGUCCCAACUCAUUGAAAUUGAGCUUUAUGUUCCCUCUUUGAUGUGUAACCAUGUAAUAUUUGGAAAAUCAGAUAAACAACCUGUAUCACACAGUGUGCUGCUAACACCCAGAAAGUCUUCACUAAAUUGUCCUCUAUACUCUGUUUGCUUCCACUUUCUCCCCUACCUUUCUGAAAUGUUAUGUCUUUGUCACUUUUUUAGGUAAGGUAGAAACCAGUUGUCUUUUCUUCUCUUCCUUGAUUAUACCUUCUCUCAUUUUCCUCAAACCAUCUCUGUUAAACUCUUAGACACAAUGAACAUGUCUUUUUCCACUGGAAUUUUCCCCACCAGAUUUAAGUUCAGUAAUCCCCACUAUAACCCCACUCAAACCAAUACUUGACACUGCAGAAGAUUUCAGUUUCCAUUCAUGUAUUCAGCAAGGGAUACAAGUGAAUUCAAGACUCAAACCAAUGUUGGUGUCACUUUUCCAGUUGAACUGGAAUUGAGCAACCUGCAGAAUAAAACUACUCUGGCGUCAAAAGAGGACAUUUCACUAAGACUAUCAUACUCUCCAUUACCAAAGCCUUGCAAGAACAUCAAGAUCAACCACCAACAAUCUGCUUGACCUGUCCUCUGGCUUUGCCAUUACCAACCCUCCAUGUCCUAUCAACCCUAUCAGCAUUUUGGAUAGAUGGUACUGCUCUUUACUGGGAGCACUUGUCACUCCCUUCCACUGACAAUUCCUGCCAGUACUGAGACUCAAACUCACAAUGUUUGGGUUAUAAGUCUGACUCUCUAACCAUUAGGCCAUGACUGCCCCUGUCUAAAGUAUAAAGGAAUGUCAUGUCCAGGUCGACCUCGCAAAGGCUAAACUCAUUGACGUAACCAUCCAUGUUAACUUUGCUAAGGCUGAACUCAUUGACAUAUCAGCCAGGCCAUCAAUUGUAUACAACACCACCACCAAACAUCUUAACCCAACAACAAGAGGCAUCAUUUGGAAGUGUUUAACAACCAUCCAAACAAAUGCCCAGUUUUUUGCUUUUUAACAGAGAAUAUCAGCACAAUGCUUUACUAUUUGGCAUUCCACCUGUCAAGACUUGCAGAUGAUCCAGAAUGUUUAAGAGCAUCUGGUCUUCAGUGAGCCAAAAUUGUGCACCAUGUCACAUCUCAGUUGACUUACUGCCUAUAGGCAUCUACAUCAAAUUCAAGGCUCUGAUGCUAAUGAACCAAACCACCUCUCUGGCUGCAUUCUCCCUUACCCUGGAUUUAGUCAAAGAACAUAUGAUGGUGCAUCACAUUGUGGUACAAGGUCACUUCCAAAAUCCUUCACACUAUCCCUCUCCUUCAUAUGCAAUCCACUGUCAUCUUGUGUGAGCACAUGACUUUUCAUGGUUGUUUUUAUGUGCCCAUGUGCACUCUUGUCUAUUGUUUGACCCUGACUUCUUGUUACCUGAUUAUUUAUCAUAAUUAGUAGUUGUUUACUCCACCUGUCCUCCCCCAUUACCUUUUUUGUCUGCUCUCUAUUUUCCUUCUGUUUUCAGUUCAGUGCCAGUUUAUCAUCAAUAUUAGCCUCUUCUGUCCUUUUUUGCCCGUUCCUUUUCUGCCUUUCCCUCGCCAGGCCAUCUACUGAUCCUGUUUACCCCUAUGGGAUAGUUUUUGUUGUUUUAUUUUCAUUCUUGAUUAAAUAAAGGCCCAUAUUGAACUCUG
Carassius auratus (goldfish) is the source of this 4417-nucleotide long non-coding RNA. RefSeq lists it as uncharacterized. NCBI's taxonomy places the organism in Eukaryota, Metazoa, Chordata, Actinopteri, Cypriniformes, Cyprinidae. The record is from RefSeq and is a predicted model, not a curated record. The transcript has 2 exons.